AGCAGCCGCGGUAAUUCCAGCUCCAAUAGCGUAUAUUAAAGUUGUUGCAGUUAAAAAGCUCGUAGUUGAAUUUCGGGGUCAGUAGGUUGGUCGUGCCACAGGUAUGAACUGGUCUCACUGAUUCCUCCUUCCUGAUGAACCGUAAUGCCAUUAAUUUGGUGUUGCGGGGAGACUGGACUGUUACUUUGAAAAAAUUAGAGUGUUCAAAGCAGGCUCACGCUUGAAUACAUUAGCAUGGAAUAAUGAAAUAGGACGUUGAUCCUAUUUUGUUGGUUUCUAGGAUUGACGUAAUGAUUAAUAGGGAUAGUUGGGGGCAUUAGUACUCAAUUGCCAGAGGUGAAAUUCUUGGGU
RNAcentral lists this ribosomal RNA (351 nucleotides) under uncultured Glomeraceae. RNAcentral's name for it is "SSU rRNA". It matches the Rfam family "Eukaryotic small subunit ribosomal RNA", at positions 569 to 925 of the family's 1831-position model. Lineage: Eukaryota; Fungi; Glomeromycota; Glomeromycetes; Glomerales; Glomeraceae. The record is from RNAcentral.